This 660-nucleotide ribosomal RNA is filed under the name uncultured Alphaproteobacteria bacterium. Its description in RNAcentral is "bacterial SSU rRNA". It matches the Rfam family "Bacterial small subunit ribosomal RNA", at positions 87 to 782 of the family's 1533-position model. Lineage: Bacteria; Pseudomonadati; Pseudomonadota; Alphaproteobacteria. The record is from RNAcentral.
CGGGUCUAGUGGCGCACGGGUGCGUAACGCGUGGGAAUCUGCCCUUAGGUACGGAAUAACUCAGAGAAAUUUGUGCUAAUACCGUAUGAUGUCGAAAGACCAAAGAUUUAUCGCCUAAGGAUGAGCCCGCGUAAGAUUAGCUUGUUGGUGAGGUAAAAGCUCACCAAGGCGACGAUCUUUAGCUGGUCUGAGAGGAUGAUCAGCCACACUGGGACUGAGACACGGCCCAGACUCCUACGGGAGGCAGCAGUGGGGAAUAUUGGACAAUGGGCGAAAGCCUGAUCCAGCAAUGCCGCGUGAGUGAUGAAGGCCUUAGGGUUGUAAAGCUCUUUUACCAGGGAUGAUAAUGACAGUACCUGGAGAAUAAGCUCCGGCUAACUCCGUGCCAGCAGCCGCGGUAAUACGGAGGGAGCUAGCGUUGUUCGGAAUUACUGGGCGUAAAGCGUACGUAGGCGGUUAUUCAAGUCAGAGGUGAAAGCCUGGAGCUCAACUCCAGAACUGCCUUUGAAACUAGAUAGCUAGAAUCUUGGAGAGGUUAGUGGAAUUCCGAGUGUAGAGGUGAAAUUCGUAGAUAUUCGGAAGAACACCAGUGGCGAAGGCGACUAACUGGACAAGUAUUGACGCUGAGGUACGAAAGCGUGGGGAGCAAACAGGAUUAGA